AGGACUUGACAUCCUCUGACGAUUCAGGAGACUGAAUUUUCUCUUCGGAGACAGAGAGACAGGUGGUGCAUGGUU
RNAcentral lists this ribosomal RNA (75 nucleotides) under uncultured Eubacteriales bacterium. RNAcentral's name for it is "uncultured Clostridiales bacterium partial 16S ribosomal RNA". Lineage: Bacteria; Bacillati; Bacillota; Clostridia; Eubacteriales. The record is from RNAcentral.